RNAcentral lists this ribosomal RNA (465 nucleotides) under Vreelandella stevensii. RNAcentral describes it as "partial 16S ribosomal RNA". It matches the Rfam family "Bacterial small subunit ribosomal RNA", at positions 338 to 795 of the family's 1533-position model. Lineage: Bacteria; Pseudomonadati; Pseudomonadota; Gammaproteobacteria; Oceanospirillales; Halomonadaceae. The record is from RNAcentral.
CCUACGGGGGGCUGCAGUGGGGAAUAUUGGACAAUGGGGGCAACCCUGAUCCAGCCAUGCCGCGUGUGCGAAGAAGGCCCUCGGGUUGUAAAGCACUUUCAGUGAGGAAGAACGCCUGGUGGUUAAUACCCAUCAGGAAAGACAUCACUCACAGAAGAAGCACCGGCUAACUCCGUGCCAGCAGCCGCGGUAAUACGGAGGGUGCGAGCGUUAAUCGGAAUUACUGGGCGUAAAGCGCGCGUAGGUGGCUUGAUAAGCCGGUUGUGAAAGCCCCGGGCUCAACCUGGGAACGGCAUCCGGAACUGUCAAGCUAGAGUGCAGGAGAGGAAGGUAGAAUUCCCGGUGUAGCGGUGAAAUGCGUAGAGAUCGGGAGGAAUACCAGUGGCGAAGGCGGCCUUCUGGACUGACACUGACACUGAGGUGCGAAAGCGUGGGUAGCAAACAGGAUUAGAUACCCCAGUAGUC